ACAUGACAUUCGCUUAAUUUCCAUGAUGGAAAGCGGGGGAACCAACCGUAUGGAGGGAUACCUAUAGGAUCCUUCAACCAUACUAUGGGGUGAAUCCUGAUGCGUCGCGUACGUACGCCGCGAUGGAAUCAGGUAGGGCGACUCUCACCGCCCGAAUCCGACAGCUAACCUCGUCAGCGUUGAUCGGGAGGGUUG
Molecule: non-coding RNA, 195 nt
Organism: Paenibacillus sp. Y412MC10
Lineage: Bacteria; Bacillati; Bacillota; Bacilli; Caryophanales; Paenibacillaceae
Source: Rfam